Molecule: ribosomal RNA, 540 nt
Filed under: Cutaneotrichosporon moniliiforme
Lineage: Eukaryota; Fungi; Basidiomycota; Tremellomycetes; Trichosporonales; Trichosporonaceae
Description: eukaryotic LSU rRNA
Rfam family: Eukaryotic large subunit ribosomal RNA
Source: RNAcentral
UCUGGCUGUCUUCGAUAGUCCGAGUUGUAAUCUAUAGACGUGUUUCUCCGUGCUGGACCGUAUCUAAGUCCCUUGGAACAGGGUAUCAAAGAGGGUGACAAUCCCGUGCUUGAUACGACCACCAGUGCUCUGUGAUACACGCUCUACGAGUCGAGUUGUUUGGGAAUGCAGCUCAAAAUGGGUGGUAAAUUCCAUCUAAAGCUAAAUAUUGGCGAGAGACCGAUAGCGAACAAGUACCGUGAGGGAAAGAUGAAAAGCACUUUGGAAAGAGAGUUAAACAGUACGUGAAAUUGUUGAAAGGGAAACGAUUGAAGUCAGUCGUGUUCUUUGGAUUCAGCUAGUUCUUCUAGUCUACUUCCUUUGAACGGGUCAACAUCAGUUUUGUCCGGUGGAUAAAGAUAGUAGGAAUGUAGCUCCCUCGGGAGUGUUAUAGACUAUUAUUGCAUGCACUGGGUGAGACUGAGGACUGCAGCUCGCCUUUUGGCCGGCCUUCGGGUACGUUCGAGCUUAGGAUGUUGACAUAAUGGCUUUAAACGACCC